Molecule: ribosomal RNA, 440 nt
Filed under: uncultured bacterium
Lineage: Bacteria
Description: partial 16S ribosomal RNA
Rfam family: Bacterial small subunit ribosomal RNA
Source: RNAcentral
CCUACGGGAGGCAGCAGUGGGGAAUAUUGCACAAUGGGGGAAACCCUGAUGCAGCGACGCCGCGUGAGUGAAGAAGUAUUUCGGUACGUAAAGCUCUAUCAGCAGGGAAGAAAAUGACGGUACCUGACUAAGAAGCCCCGGCUAACUACGUGCCAGCAGCCGCGGUAAUACGUAGGGGGCAAGCGUUAUCCGGAUUUACUGGGUGUAAAGGGAGCGUAGGCGGCAGCGCAAGUCUGGAGGGAAAUCCCAUGGCUUAACCAUGGAACUGCUUUGGAAACUGUGCAGCUAGAGUGCAGGAGAGGUAAGCGGAAUGCCUAGUGUAGCGGUGAAAUGCGUAGAUAUUAGGAGGAACACCAGUGGCGAAGGCAGCUUACUGGACUGUAACUGACGUUGAGGCUCGAAAGCGUGGGGAGCAAACAGGAUUAGAUACCCCUGUAGUC